This 229-nucleotide ribosomal RNA is filed under the name uncultured bacterium. RNAcentral describes it as "partial 16S ribosomal RNA". It matches the Rfam family "Bacterial small subunit ribosomal RNA", at positions 125 to 354 of the family's 1533-position model. The record is from RNAcentral.
CCUGCCUUGGAGUGGGGAAUAACAGCUAGAAAUAGCUGCUAAUACCGCAUGAUGCAGUGAAGUCGCAUGGCUUUGCUGCCAAAGAUUUAUCGCUCUGAGAUGACCUCGCGUCUGAUUAGCUAGUUGGUAGGGUAACGGCCUACCAAGGCGACGAUCAGUAGCCGGACUGAGAGGUUGGCCGGCCACAUUGGGACUGAGAUACGGCCCAGACUCCUACGGGAGGCAGCAG